CGAACGCUGGCGGCGUGCUUAAAACAUGCAAGUCGUACGAGAGCUUCGGCUCGAGUGGCAAACGGCUGAGUAACGCGUGGGUGACCUGCCUCGAAGUGGGGAAUAACUAGCCCGAAAGGGUGGCUAAUACCGCAUGUGAUGGAUCGUUCAUUCGGUUCAUUAAAGCAGUAACGUGCUUCGAGAGGGGCCCGCGUCCGAAUUUAAGCUAGUUGGUGGGGUAAAGGCCUACCAAGGCGACGAUCGGUAGCUGGUCUAAGAGGAUGAUCAGCCAGACUAGGGAACUGACGAACAACGGCCCAGACUCCUACGGGAGGCAGCAGUUAGGAAUUUUGGGCAAUGGGCGAAAGCCUGACCCAGCA
Molecule: ribosomal RNA, 359 nt
Filed under: uncultured bacterium
Lineage: Bacteria
Description: bacterial SSU rRNA
Rfam family: Bacterial small subunit ribosomal RNA
Source: RNAcentral